Molecule: ribosomal RNA, 253 nt
Filed under: uncultured bacterium
Lineage: Bacteria
Description: partial 16S ribosomal RNA
Rfam family: Bacterial small subunit ribosomal RNA
Source: RNAcentral
UACGUAGGGUGCGAGCGUUGCCCGGAUUUAUUUGGCGUAAAGGGCGCGUAGGCGGCUCUGCACGUCCGUUGUGAAAUCGCUCGGCUCAACUGGGCGGGGUCAGCGGAUACGGCGUGGCUGGAGCAAGCUAGGGGGCAAUGGAAUUCCCGGUGUAGUGGUGGAAUGCGUAGAUAUCGGGAGGAACACCAGUGGCGAAGGCGGUUGCCUGGAGCUUUGCUGACGCUGAUGCGCGAAAGCGUGGGGAGCGAUCCGG